Molecule: long non-coding RNA, 190 nt
Organism: Alligator sinensis (Chinese alligator)
Lineage: Eukaryota; Metazoa; Chordata; Crocodylia; Alligatoridae
Exons: 3
Source: RefSeq, a predicted model, not a curated record
AGGUAAGGAUUUGUAUGAAGCCUUGCACUGACCCUGACAAAAAUUAAGAAGCCGGUAAGUCUAGAGAAGAAGACUGCAGACAAACUUCAAUUCUGGGAGGGAAAUGAGAACUACAGCACACUUAGGACCUGCAUACUGCCACAGGCAGACCUGAACCAGGCGACUCCCCAGGUGAGCAGGGAGCCUGUGA